CGUGGAGACAGGUGGUGUAUGGCUGUCGUCAGCUCGUGUCGUGAGAUGUUGGGUUAAGUCCCGCAACGAGCGCAACCCUCACCCCUAGUUGCCACCGGGUAAAGCCGAGCACUCGAGGGGAACUGCCAGCGUCAAGCUGGAGGAAGGCGGGGAUGACGUCAAGUCAUCAUGCCCCUUACGCCCUGGGCUACACACGUGCUACAAUGGCCGGUACAAAGGGACGCGAGACUGCAAGGUGGAGCUAAUCCCAAAAAACUGGUCUAAGUUCAGAUUGCAGUCUGCAACUCGACUGCAUGAAGGAGGAAUCGCUAGUAAUCGCGCAUCAGCACGGCGCGGUGAAUACGUUCCCGGGCCUUGUACACACCGCCCGUCACACCACGAAAGCUGUCUGUACUCGAAGUCGCUGAG
Molecule: ribosomal RNA, 408 nt
Filed under: uncultured Methylomirabilota bacterium
Lineage: Bacteria; Methylomirabilota (SeqCode)
Description: bacterial SSU rRNA
Rfam family: Bacterial small subunit ribosomal RNA
Source: RNAcentral